ACACACACACACACAUACACACACUUAUAUAGAAUAAUGUACACACACACACACACACACUUAUAUAGAAUAAUGUACGCACACACACACACACACACACUUAUAUAGAAUAAUGUACACACACACACACACACACACUUAUAUAGAAUAAUGUAUUGAAAUAUUGCUAGAAAAGUGUAUUAAUGAGAAGUAAAGCAUUUGAUAUGAUUUGUAUUUAACUUUUUUAAUUUAUAUUAUAUAUAUUUUUACCUGAAUACAUUAUUGUCCAUAAUCAACUAACUUGUGUCAGCUUCAUGAUGUGGUUGUGCAGCUUUCCGUGAUCGAGAUCUUGGUCUUGCAUAAAUCUCAGCAACCACUGAAGUGUUUCUUCAAGAGGUUGCUUUGGGCAACUUGUCUGAUUUCCAGGAGUACAAUGGUGAUAAGUAAAGACUGCGCUGCAUUUACUGCAACAGUGAAGUGCGUGGGUGGAGAGGCCCACCUCAGACCUCCAGUAAGACCUGCACUCUUUGGAAGAGGAAAGAAAUCCAUCAACUCAGAAAUGCUACAGCAACUCAAGGGCUGAGAGUGAAAGAAGGCAAUAAUCUUGGAGUCACAAGCCUUCAUAGGGAAAAGGAACUACAAGAUGACAAGAUCUGCAUAAGAUCAAUUCUAAAGUCAGAGCUGUGUUGGAUUAGCAGGAGAGUGAAGAGAUGGAGCCUUUCAUUGCAGAAAAAAUAUUUUGUGGAGAGGCUGCUGAUGUCUAAUGGUUCUUUGUAUACAGCCAGUGGAUUCACCAUCAAAGACUCACCAGUUAAACUUUUCUGUAGCACUGAUAUAGGUAUAUCCAUAUAUUGUUAGGCAUGAAGGGCUUUGCAUGCAAUAAGUUAAACUAUUGGUUCAAUAACACUAGUCACAACAAAUUUUCUUUAUUCAGAUGAACCAAAAAACUCUUGUAAAACAUGAACCAAAUAAGUAUUUUGGCAAGGUUUAGAACCUGAGAUUAUUGCUUGUUUUCCUUUGGAAUCAGUGAAGGUUAUUUGGGUUCUCAGUUAUGCUAAUACACAAAGGGUGGAAAUACAAGCAAGAUAAAUACCUAAUAAUGUUGACCUGAAUUUAUAUUUAUUGUAAAAAACUGUGAAUAUCCAGCUUGCACUAACAUGUUUGGCAUUCAUUUCAUAUGGAUAGGAAAAAAAAUAAAUAAAUAAAAAUUAUAUAUAUAUAUUUUUUUUUAAUAGGCUUAAAUUCAGAUAUAAUUUACAGUAAUAGUCAAAAUAUGAAAUGUAACAAACAUGAUCAAAAUAGUAAACUUUUGAACUUCUGCCCAAAGAAAUCACAAUGAUGUUCAUGGUCAUUAUUUGUUACACUAUUUCAGGCGUCCUCUCCUGGAAAACCUGUGGCACCCACGAAGUUGGCACUGUGCACUUGUCAGGAAGAAGACAUCAAUUAGUGUUGUGUGUAAGCUUGGCAGUUUAGUUGUACUGUUGAGGAAACUCUAACCUGGUAUAAAAGCAUGAGUGAUGAAAGCUUUUUUUUUUCUCUCUAUCCAUGCAUU
Scylla paramamosain (green mud crab) is the source of this 1531-nucleotide long non-coding RNA. RefSeq lists it as uncharacterized. Lineage: Eukaryota; Metazoa; Arthropoda; Malacostraca; Decapoda; Portunidae. The transcript has 2 exons. The record is from RefSeq and is a predicted model, not a curated record.